Long non-coding RNA from Thunnus maccoyii (southern bluefin tuna), 2194 nucleotides. RefSeq lists it as uncharacterized. The transcript has 2 exons. Lineage: Eukaryota; Metazoa; Chordata; Actinopteri; Scombriformes; Scombridae. The record is from RefSeq and is a predicted model, not a curated record.
GUAGGCUGAGGACACAGGAGGGAAAACACAGGGCAAACAGAAAACCAAAAACCCAGAAACACAAUACUCUUAUUUAUCCACUAAGCCAAUUGUAUCAGAGUCUGAUGGUAAAGUCCUGCUAGCCCAUUUAAAUUCACGAUAUAUAAGCUCCUGAGGUAAUGUCAUAAACUCUGGUUUAAAGGCACUAUGAGAUGGCAGUAGCAAAAUUUGCCUCAAACAAAGACAGGAGCAUUCAAUCCUGGUUAAUACAGACUGGCAUAGCUUGACAAAAUAUACAUGAAAAGUACACAAAUAACACUUCUCCCACUCAGUCCAGUCUUCACAAAACAUGGAGAAAAGUCUGAGGGCAUCUGGUGGACUGGUGGAAAAUGGCAAGUCUGGGAAGUAAGAAGAACGAACAUGGCCGGGAAGUCGUAAUGCGGAGAGCUGGGGAUGAGAGUGUGUGGCUGCAGAGAAGGACUGAGGAGCAGAUUGUGACCUUCCUUCUUAUUUUAGUUCAAGCGAAACCACCAAGCAAUCGACCACAAGCCAGCCUACCAUUACCACCACCCUUCAAUUGACCCAAAAGUACCCCAAAAAUGGGAAAGAUGCCAAAUGACUUAACUGGGUAGUAGCAGAAUUUAUUUUUUGUCUGGAUGAGGUACCUGUGUAUACUGUGGAAAAAACUGGCUUCAGGAGUCUUGUGUGUGAGUUGGACAAACGGUAUGACAUGCCAAGAAAAAACUACUUUAUGUACACUGAAAUACCAAAGCUCUACCAAGAGACCAGAAGUAUCCUUGCUGCACAACUGGCAGAGAAACAAUUCUACGCAUGCACAACAGAUCUAUGGACAAGCAGAGCUGUAGACACCUACAUGGCUGUUACCAUCCAGUUUAUCAGUGUAUCAUGGGAGAUGCAGUCUUGGUGUUUAGGCCGUACAGCAAUGUAUUCUGACCGCCUGACUGAAGCCUUAGAAGAAACUGUUAGUGAAACAUGGGAAUUGGACAUGUCUGUCCAGGCUCUGUAGAACAGCCUCAAUCUUCUCUACGUUAAACAAACUUACAAGAUCACUGAAAGAGAAACAAGAGGCACUGCAGGUUGCAGAGUACAGGCUCAUUCAUGAUGAGCCCACCAGAUGGAACUCGGCUUUCAGCAUGGUGGACAGGUUCUGUGAGCAGCAGCAGUCCUGGCGGAGAACCACAAAAAUUAUCACCUCAUACCCAAAGACACAGACAUCACCAUCUUGGAAACAGUGAGGGAUGUUCUAGAUCCUCUGAAUGCCUUCACAGAUGCUUUGAGGGGAAAGAAAGAUCCAACUCUCUCCUCUGUCCUGUCUCUACUAUGGAAGAUCCAUUCCUGUCUAGCAGGCAAAGAUCCUGAUGAGACACUUACAUGUGGCAUGAAAAGAAAGAUAAGAGAUGACAUAAAGAGGAGAUAUGAAGAUCCUAGGCCACAAUUUGUGCUCAACACAGCAACAUAUCUUGAUCCAAGGUUUAAGAUGACCAUUGUGCCAAUGGAAAAGGAGGUGAAGGAUGAGGUCCUACAGGGAGCUCUCAUGGCUGACCUCCAUAGAGGAGAACAGGCAGCAGAAAAACAGGCCUGAAAAGCUUUCUGUCCAGCAUAACUUUGGAAAAGAGGGGGACAACAAUACAAUCUCAGAGAGUGGAUCUCAAAAAGAACCCCACUGAAAGAGUCAUGAAUGAAUUUGAGGUCUAAUGCCAAAGUAAAGAGAUACAUGCAGUGGAGCACUUUCCUGGUGGAAAGAUCAUGAAAAAAGCCUGUCCAUCCUUGCAAAUUGUGCAAAAAGAUAUAUGUGUAUUGCAGCUUCCACUUGUGCCUCAGAAUGUGUUUUAAGCACCUCUGUCAUCAUUGCCGGUCCCAGGCACAUAAGGCCGUCAGAGAAGCAUGUGGAUAUACUUGUAUUCUUGGCCAAGAACCUAAAACAGGCAAAGAACCUGUCUUAAACAUAGACUGAUAUCACAGGAUAUUGUGAAGAGUGCAAUGUGCAUGCCUACUUGAAACGUGAAAGUGUUCUAAUUUGGAAAGACUUUAUUAUAGAAAGAUGCUGUAUUCUGUUCUUAAAAUGUUUUAUACUUUUGAAAGAUUCUUUUUUUUCAAAUUGCUUUAUUUCAUAUAUAUUUUUUCAGUUUAAGACUUGUCCAGCAAUCUGAGAGUUUUACAAGGUUGUUAAUAAACUGUGAUUUCGAAAAUGUGA